RNAcentral lists this ribozyme (70 nucleotides) under Aedes aegypti (yellow fever mosquito). RNAcentral describes it as "drz-agam-1 ribozyme". It matches the Rfam family "drz-agam-1 ribozyme". Lineage: Eukaryota; Metazoa; Arthropoda; Insecta; Diptera; Culicidae. The record is from Rfam by way of RNAcentral.
UGCCCAACAACUCCUAUCCCUACCUCCUCGCGGUACUGGCCGGGAUACGAAUAAAUUUAGAGAAGAUCGG